Molecule: ribosomal RNA, 1373 nt
Filed under: uncultured bacterium
Lineage: Bacteria
Description: bacterial SSU rRNA
Rfam family: Bacterial small subunit ribosomal RNA
Source: RNAcentral
GAUGAACGCUGGCGGCGUGCCUAAUACAUGCAAGUCGAGCGAACGGACGAGAAGCUUGCUUCUCUGAUGUUAGCGGCGGACGGGUGAGUAACACGUGGAUAACCUACCUAUAAGACUGGGAUAACUUCGGGAAACCGGAGCUAAUACCGGAUAAUAUUUUGAACCGCAUGGUUCAAAAGUGAAAGACGGUCUUGCUGUCACUUAUAGAUGGAUCCGCGCUGCAUUAGCUAGUUGGGUAAGGUAACGGCUUACCAAGGCAACGAUGCAUAGCCGACCUGAGAGGGUGAUCGGCCACACUGGAACUGAGACACGGUCCAGACUCCUACGGGAGGCAGCAGUAGGGAAUCUUCCGCAAUGGGCGAAAGCCUGACGGAGCAACGCCGCGUGAGUGAUGAAGGUCUUCGGAUCGUAAAACUCUGUUAUUAGGGAAAAACAUAUGUGUAAGUAACUGUGCACAUCUUGACGGUACCUAAUCAGAAAGCCACGGCUAACUACGUGCCAGCAGCCGCGGUAAUACGUAGGUGGCAAGCGUUAUCCGGAAUUAUUGGGCGUAAAGCGCGCGUAGGCGGUUUUUUAAGUCUGAUGUGAAAGCCCACGGCUCAACCGUGGAGGGUCAUUGGAAACUGGAAAACUUGAGUGCAGAAGAGGAAAGUGGAAUUCCAUGUGUAGCGGUGAAAUGCGCAGAGAUAUGGAGGAACACCAGUGGCGAAGGCGACUUUCUGGUCUGUAACUGACGCUGAUGUGCGAAAGCGUGGGGAUCAAACAGGAUUAGAUACCCUGGUAGUCCACGCCGUAAACGAUGAGUGCUAAGUGUUAGGGGGUUUCCGCCCCUUAGUGCUGCAGCUAACGCAUUAAGCACUCCGCCUGGGGAGUACGACCGCAGGGUUGAAACUCAAAGGAAUUGACGGGGACCCGCACAAGCGGUGGAGCAUGUGGUUUAAUUCGAAGCAACGCGAAGAACCUUACCAAAUCUUGACAUCCUUUGACAACUCUAGAGAUAGAGCCUUCCCCUUCGGGGGACAAAGUGACAGGUGGUGCAUGGUUGUCGUCAGCUCGUGUCGUGAGAUGUUGGGUUAAGUCCCGCAACGAGCGCAACCCUUAAGCUUAGUUGCCAUCAUUAAGUUGGGCACUCUAAGUUGACUGCCGGUGACAAACCGGAGGAAGGUGGGGAUGACGUCAAAUCAUCAUGCCCCUUAUGAUUUGGGCUACACACGUGCUACAAUGGACAAUACAAAGGGCAGCGAAACCGCGAGGUCAAGCAAAUCCCAUAAAGUUGUUCUCAGUUCGGAUUGUAGUCUGCAACUCGACUACAUGAAGCUGGAAUCGCUAGUAAUCGUAGAUCAGCAUGCUACGGUGAAUACGUUCCCGGGUCU